This 825-nucleotide ribosomal RNA is filed under the name Microbacterium sp. Ina. RNAcentral describes it as "bacterial SSU rRNA". It matches the Rfam family "Bacterial small subunit ribosomal RNA", at positions 57 to 889 of the family's 1533-position model. Lineage: Bacteria; Bacillati; Actinomycetota; Actinomycetes; Micrococcales; Microbacteriaceae. The record is from RNAcentral.
GCAAGUCGAACGGUGAAGGUGGAGCUUGCUCUGCUGGAUCAGUGGCGAACGGGUGAGUAACACGUGAGCAAUCUGCCCCUGACUCUGGGAUAAGCGCUGGAAACGGCGUCUAAUACUGGAUACGAACCACGGAGGCAUCUUCGGUGGUUGGAAAGAUUUUUCGGUCUGGGAUGAGCUCGCGGCCUAUCAGCUUGUUGGUGAGGUAAUGGCUCACCAAGGCGUCGACGGGUAGCCGGCCUGAGAGGGUGACCGGCCACACUGGGACUGAGACACGGCCCAGACUCCUACGGGAGGCAGCAGUGGGGAAUAUUGCACAAUGGGCGCAAGCCUGAUGCAGCAACGCCGCGUGAGGGAUGACGGCCUUCGGGUUGUAAACCUCUUUUAGCAGGGAAGAAGCGAAAGUGACGGUACCUGCAGAAAAAGCGCCGGCUAACUACGUGCCAGCAGCCGCGGUAAUACGUAGGGCGCAAGCGUUAUCCGGAAUUAUUGGGCGUAAAGAGCUCGUAGGCGGUUUGUCGCGUCUGCUGUGAAAUCCCGAGGCUCAACCUCGGGCCUGCAGUGGGUACGGGCAGACUAGAGUGCGGUAGGGGAGAUUGGAAUUCCUGGUGUAGCGGUGGAAUGCGCAGAUAUCAGGAGGAACACCGAUGGCGAAGGCAGAUCUCUGGGCCGUAACUGACGCUGAGGAGCGAAAGGGUGGGGAGCAAACAGGCUUAGAUACCCUGGUAGUCCACCCCGUAAACGUUGGGAACUAGUUGUGGGGUCCAUUCCACGGGAUUCCGUGACGCAGCUAACGCAUUAAGUUCCCCGCCUGGGGAGUACGGCCGC